This 467-nucleotide ribosomal RNA is filed under the name uncultured bacterium. RNAcentral describes it as "partial 16S ribosomal RNA". It matches the Rfam family "Bacterial small subunit ribosomal RNA", at positions 28 to 507 of the family's 1533-position model. The record is from RNAcentral.
GACGAACGCUGGCGGCGUGCUUAACACAUGCAAGUCGAACGGAAAGGCCUCUUUCGGGGGGUACUCGAGUGGCGAACGGGCGAGUAACACGUGAGUAACCUGCCCUUGACUUUGGGAUAACUUCAGGAGACUGGGGCUAAUACCGGAUAGGAGCUCCUGCUGCAUGGUGGGGGUUGGAAAGUUUCGGCGGUUGGGGAUGGACUCGCGGCUUAUCAGCUUGUUGGUGGGGUAGUGGCUUACCAAGGCUUUGACGGGUAGCCGGCCUGAGAGGGUGACCGGCCACAUUGGGACUGAGAUACGGCCCAGACUCCUACGGGAGGCAGCAGUGGGGAAUAUUGCACAAUGGGUGGAAGCCUGAUGCAGCAACGCCGUGUGCGGGAUGACGGCCUUCGGGUUGUAAACCGCUUUCGCUCAUGACGAAGCUUUGUGUGACGGUAGUGGGUAAAGAAGCACCGGCUAACUACGUG